Molecule: long non-coding RNA, 5835 nt
Filed under: Sus scrofa (pig)
Lineage: Eukaryota; Metazoa; Chordata; Mammalia; Artiodactyla; Suidae
Description: lncRNA (ENSSSCG00000060990.1)
Source: RNAcentral
UUCAGGAUCAAGACUGUUGGCCAGAUCUGAGUGAAAAAUAACUACCCACAAAAACUUCGUUUCUUCCUCAUUCCCUCCUCCUCUGUGGUCUGCACCUCCCCACGCUGAUGGAGGAACCUGCAAUUCCAGAACUAAUACUCUGGCUCUCCUCCCGUGAAUCCUAAUUGGCUGCGCAGAGGCUCCCCCUCCUGUCCUAUCUCUAGCGUGGCAUGGCCAUCUGCCCCCCAGGAGGCUUGAGGCGGUCUCCGCUCUCCGCCUUGGCUGCUGACCAUGCAUAGAGAGGACAGGGAAGACGCUGAGAGUGAGGGAGGAGGUAAUGAUGAGAGAUAAUGAAGAAUGUGAGAAAAUCCUUCAUGGGGAAACCUGUGCCCUGGGAAGAGAGAGAAUGGGGAAGAAAUGGAGGCCAUCGGAGCCUUAAGUUUAUCAGGCAAUGAGGACCCAGGGAUCUGUGCGAAGAGGAUGAAACUUCAUUGCCAUCGCAUUUGUUAAGCAGCUUUCUGUGUGCGUUUUUCACAGCAUGCUGAAUGUGUCCUUGGCAAGGGAAGCUGAUGUCAGUGAGCAUCUCAGCAUUACCGGUAGGACACGAAAAAGCCUGGAUCAGGGAUUAAGCCGAGGGCUUGCUGAUGAGGAUGAACAACCAGGGACAGAUGCGUGCUCCCUGAUAAGAAUGGGUCACCCUCCAGAUCUAAGCAGAGAAAACAAUGAGGAAGGACUUCGGAAUUACACAGCUCCGGAGUGCAAUGAUGACAACGCUCACAGCAAUGGGACACUGGUUUAUAAGAAGUUGCGUGAGACUGAAUAGACCGCCAAGGAUAGGCUGCAAGAGGGGGCAGGGUUUGCAUACCAGAUCUGAGGACCCCUCUGGAAUAACUAGGGGCCUGCCCUUGUUUAGGAUUUAGCUAUUCUUCCCCUCCUCACUUUCUCAUUUACUUCUCUUUUUCCUCUCUCUAGAAUCAUUUAUGUCAGCAACAGUCUUCUUCCACAUAUCUCUUCAUUACUUUCCAUUGUGCUGCCAGCCAUCUACUGGUCAAUCUUAAUUCCAAGCCAGCCUCACCUUUCUGGAGAAUAAAGGCUUUUCCAUCACUAAUUGGCAUCAUCAGUGCUAUGGUCUGAAUGUUUUUGUGCCCCCUCCCAAAAAAAUUUUUUUUCAUUUGUUGAAAUCCUUAUGCCCAGUGUGAUGGUAUCUUGUGGAAGAACUUAGGUAUUGAGGGUGGAGCCCUCAUGAAUGGGAUUGAUAUUCUUAUAAAAUAAAUCCUACAGAGUUCCCUAGCCCCUUCCAUUGUGUAAGGACCCAGUAAAAAUCUGCACCACAGAAAAGGGCCCUCCAAGUUCCCACCGUGGCUCAGCGGUAACAAACCCAACUAGUAUCUAUGAGGAUGCAGGUUUGAUCCCUGGUCUCACUCAGUGGGUUAAGGAUCCAGCAUUGCCAUGAGCUGUGGUCUAGGUCUCAGAUGCUACUCAGAUCCCACAUUGCCAUGGCUGUGGUGUGGUGUAGGACGGCAGUUGCAGCUCUGAUUCAACCCCUAGCCUAGGAACGUCCAUGUGCUGCAGGUGCAGCCCUAAAAAGCAAAAGAAGAAAAAAGAAAAGUGCCCUCAUCUGACCAUGAUGGCAUCCUGAUCUUGGACUUCCACCAUCCAGAACUGUGAGAAAUAAAUUUCUAUGGCUUAUAAGCCACCCAGUCUGUGGUAUUUUGUUAUAGCAGCAGAGCUAAGACAAUCAGGCAUAUUUUAUAGGACUGUCCUCAGGCCACUGAAAAAGACCCUAGAGCACCAGGAGGAUGGUAUUCCCAGUCAAAUCCGUAAGAAAUGACUCUUUCUCUGCUAAUAAAGACUAUACAACAGGCUUGUCAUGAAAAGGUUAAGGAUUGGGUCAACUUGAGUGCAUGUAUCUAAGCUCUUUCACAGCUGAUGAGAAAAACCACUCAGAGGCUUGAAUUCAUGAUGGUAUUAGGAGAGAGAGAAAAGAAAAGCAAAGUUGGAAAGAUACCAAAGGGGAAGGCAGAAUGGCAGUGACAGACCCAGGGAGAUCAGGAUAAAGGGAGAAAGGGUUAACUGGUUUGGAGUUAUCAGAACAGCAAUGUGCUUCUUUGUUUCUGAGUUGCAGUAGCAUUCAAAAUAACAUGAAAAGGUAAAUCUGACUCUUACAAAGGCAAGACUGCAUUUUCUGUCCAUCCUUCACCCCUUUCCCCAGCCCAGGUUUCUCUCAGGAGAAUGCAUCCCAUGGGAGAAAGCCAACCCUGAGAUCACUUCAACCCCUCUGUCAGCAGGACACCACAAUCAAAGCUGAUGGGAAGGAGUAUUAUUCUGAUGAAUAGCAUUAACUUCAGUGUCAGGAGCCUCACAAGCAUGGGGUGGGAGGGGCUGUGGAGAGGCCAGCACAAUGGAGACUUUUAUUGGAUUGGUAGGCUUUUAGCCAGGCCCUGCUGCUUUGAAAGUAAACAGCAUCUCCCUGCUUGCAGAGGUAAUGGAGCUGUUAGGGCGCCAUUCAAGUCUAAGAAAAGACCAGAACACAUCAUCCCCGCAACAAUGGGCAAUCCCUUAACCUGGUUACAAAGUAAGACAGAGCCCUCCCUCCCACCUGCCCUGGCCCCCAGUACUGUUUCCCUUGAUGGAAUAGCAAGUUCUUGAAGUCAGGCCACGAAAAACUCCAGGAAAGCAGAUGCAGCAGAGGCAGAGAUGGAGAGAUCGGAUGGAAUUGCAACAAAAUAGAGAGAAUGGGCAAUGGUUAAUUUGAGAAAAUAAAGGAGAGGAUGUAUAAAAAGAAAGAAAACCCAAAAGGCAAUAGCCAGGUAAGAGAGGAAUAAGAAGAGAAAGGGGAAUUUAAGGAAAUGGAAGGAGAGUCAAAUUGAUCUGAAAUGUUUCUGCUGAGUGAGCCUGAGUUAGACUCACCAUUUACUGACUGAGCAUCUUGUUCUCUUAUUUCCUCUUUGUGUUAUAAACAGACCACAGCAUCAUCUGGGUCUCAACAAAGCUGACUGUCACAUGGGGGUGCUGCAUAGACCUGGGCCCAAUGUUUUCCUUUGGAAAAGAUUGAGGGGAGAAAAAUUGUUUUCUUUCAAUGAAUAAUGAUUGUUGCAUUGAUGGAAACAAAAAUAUCAUCCUUUCCUGGUGUUGAGGAAAUGAACUUACAAAACGACUCUUUAAUCACUCAGGAUGCUUCUUAACUCUUUUCCCCAUCCUCAAGGGUCCCACAGAGAAGCGCAAAAUACUAGAGGGGAUGUGUAAUACUAGAUGUGUAUUAAGCAAGCUACAGGUGGAGAUCAGUGGCCUUGGCCUGUGUUGGGUCUGAAUGCUGUGCAGCGCUGCUGCCCUCUAGUCUCCAUCAAGUUUGCAGACACCGUCCCUGCUGGUUGUUAAAAGAGGCUAGUGCUACCCAGGCUUUUCCAUGCCUGUAACCUUCAGUGUGGCUGCCCUGUUAAGCUCUUGUCCACUCUUGUUGCAUAGCUCUCUUUUAUAGAGAGAGAGAGAAAGGCAGGACGACAAGGAGGUGAAAAGUAACCAAAAGGAGGAAGUACUCAAGGAAAACGCCUCUAACUAAAUAUCGUUCCACACUGACCACCAACCACAGUGGCGUUAUUGUGUCUUCUUUCUGAGUGCAUUCCCCAAACUGCCUUCUCCAUCUCAUGUCACAGCUUUGCCUCCAGGUUCUGUAUCUCCCUCUUAUGUUUUCUUCCUUUGGCUUUCAUUCCAUUCCUGGGGAAGGAACUUCAACAUUUAUUUAGUAUCUGUGAAAGAUACAAACUGUGAAAGACACAAAGUGGCUGGAGGGGUCCUGACUCCUAGGUGCUCAGAGUCAAGUGGGUGACAUAAAACGAACAAAUAUGAACCAUUCAGCAAACAAUAGUCUGAUGCUUAGGUGGGUGAGGGAAACAGCAAACAAAAAUGUACCAUUGUAUUGUUAGUUGUGCUUCUGGCUAUGAAUGACACUGUCCAUGGUUCCAAACUGCUAAACGGCUCUGGGCCAAUUUUUGAGUCCAUCUCAUUCAACCUGUGAAGGACCAUUCAGAGUUUAAUGUAUCAGCAAAAAAGAGGGAGGUUCACACACACCCCCCUAAACACAUCAUCAGGGCCAGACAGAGCUGGGGAACUCUCUUUUCUAUAAAUUAAGAAGUAAGACAGAGAAAGCAAAGGAGGAGAUAUGUUAUAAUGAGUAGAUAAAGAGAAAGCAUGAAUACACACACAUAGACAUUUUUUCCCCACCUUUUUUCCCCACCUCCGUGUUUAGAAGGAGGUUAGCAAGGGUAUGUGUUUUGUUGUUUUGUCUUCUGACUUACAGACCAGAGCCAAGAUAGGAAAUCCAUAUUUUCCAUAGGAGGCAGGGCCAGAGGAGAAAAGAUAUCAAGCAGAUUAUCACAGGUACAAAUCUUCGGCAUUAAGUGCAAAGGACAUAACUACAAAGAAAAAAAAAACAACACAAAUCAUAAAUAUUCUGCCAUCCCAACCCUACGAACUUGGAUGGUACAAUUUUUGGUAUAACUUUGUAAGCAUUUUGCUUGAUUGCAUAUAUCUCAGUUGCUGACCUAAUUUUGUCAUGCUGUGUAUUGUAUAUCUAUACCACAGAAUUAGAAGUGGGUUGAAAUGGUUCAAAGAAGUUGAGUUUGCCCUAAUCCCCAAAUAGAACCCCAAAUUAUUUUUUGGAAGUUGAAAAUGUUUGAGUGGCUAUAUAUCCCCCAUUUUAUUAAUUAUGCAUCCAUCCUGACAUGAUUCCUCAAUUUGACUAUUCUGAGAGUGAGGCCUCACAUGCUUGCCUAGAUAAGAACCUGUGUUUUUGUUUUUGUUUUUUUUUUCUUUUUAAAAUGUUUAAAGCUAAGAAUAUCCCUAGAAGUUUUGGUUUCUUUAGACCUAUGGCAUUUUUUCCAAAUCCAACAAAGAGUUUCAAUAAUGAGACUGGAAGUUUGUUCUCAAUAGCUGUGCUUAUCCAGGCAUUUUGCAGUUCACCUAUCAAAUCCAGCAUAACAGUCCUGGCCUAGGAAACUAAGCUCAUCUCUGCUGCUCUGCUAGGAAGGGGCCUCACACUGUUCCGUAGAGGGUCUACAGGUUAAGCUUCUAAGAGAUCAGAAUCAUCAUAAUUGGACCCAAAAGGAUGGAAUAAAGCCAAUGCUUUGCUUUCCCAAGAGUAAAGCAAAAAGAAAAAAAAAAAAAAAAGAAAGAAAUAGAAAAUAGAGUUAAGAAAACGCAAGCAAAAAACAUGUUAGUAAAAUUUAUUCUUCUCUCCUUAUCCAAAAUAUCCACUUUUAUCAAAGCCCAUGGGAUUUUUCGUCUACUUAAUAUAUUUAGCCUCCAAGUUAAUCUCCCUGCCCCUUAUUCAACUGACAGAUUGAUUUUUAGUAUGUUACCAUUUCAGUAGGGCAAAAAUGGUUAAUUAUCAGCAAUUUCAUAUGAUUCAAUUGGAUCCUUCACUUAUUUCAGUAGAUUUCUUCCUCGUACAAAAUUCCAUAAUGUCUCAUUAAUACUUUAUGGACUAAAACCAAAAAUCUGAAAUGUAGAACUCAUGUGUACCUCUUACCUGUCAGGUAUUGUGCUUCCCUGUCCUUUAGCCAGUAAAGGCCUUCUCCACAGUACCUCCUUAUAUAAAGAUGUCACAAAUUCUGCCUCUGGAAUGUUCAUUUUAAAAAGUCCUGAGUUGCGGCUCAGUGAUAACGAACCCGACUAGUAUCCAUGAGGACACAGGUUCAAUCCCUGGCCCCACUCAUUUGGUUAAGGAUCCAGAAUUGCCAUGAGCUGUGGUGUAGGUCGCAGACGUGGCUUGGAUCCAGCAUUGCUGUGGCUGUGGUAUAGGCCAGCAGCUGCAGCUCCAAUUCAACCCCCAGCCUAGGAACUGCCAUAUGCUGAGUG